GUGACAGGGGUUCAAUGGCCCUGCCAACUCCUUGGAGAUGCGCCCUUGUACACUGGGGGACGUCCGACCUACCAUGCUGCUGGACGGGUCUUUACGAACAUCCCACCGAGGGGACUCUAAUUCCAGAGCGCCGGGAGCUCCCGCCAUUGCGCUGUUCUUUGUUGUAUUUGUUUAUUGUGUAUUUUUUGUCUUUAGUAUUUGUUUUUGUUCUUCUUGUGGUUCACUUUUGUGUUUGUGUUGUUUUUAUACUAAUAGCAUUAUGUUUAACAUAAUGAUACUCAAACUCCACUGCUCUAGACGGGAC
RNAcentral lists this long non-coding RNA (304 nucleotides) under Androctonus crassicauda. Lineage: Eukaryota; Metazoa; Arthropoda; Arachnida; Scorpiones; Buthidae. The record is from RNAcentral.